This 385-nucleotide long non-coding RNA is filed under the name Malus domestica (apple). RNAcentral describes it as "long non-coding RNA (MDOM_LNC004689)". The record is from RNAcentral. Lineage: Eukaryota; Viridiplantae; Streptophyta; Magnoliopsida; Rosales; Rosaceae.
AGGGCAACUACAACUCGUAGAAAGCUUCACACACUCUUGAUCAAGACUGUUCGAAGCAAAUUUAAUUUAUAUGGUUUGUCCAAACCUUCGACUACUACAAGGUGUGGCUUGCAUCACAAUCUCUUGCUCAACAGUGUGAAAGCAAAAUUUGUAUAUGUUGUCUUUCCCACAUUUUCAAAUUUCUAGUUUCCCAAAAAAAAAAAAAAAAAGCUUCAUCAAUGGAGGACAACUACAAUUCUCAAAAGGUCAAGAUAGUGUGAAGCAAAAUCAAUUCAUGGUACCCAACAAAGCUUCACCUCAAAAGCUUCACCAACAAAAGCUUCAUCAAUGAAAGACAACUACAAAUUCUCAAAAGCUUCACACUAUCAUGAUUAAGAUAGUGUGA